GUGACGCCCCCCGCCCCUUGCCCACCCCUCGCCCACUCCUCGCCCCUCGUCCCCCGCCCCUGCCUAGAGAGGCGGUGCAGCGGGCGGGGAGGCGCGGCGACGGCAGCGCGCCCAGGCACUGCGGAGGGCCGGCCCCACGUGGGGGGUGGGGAGGGAUGCCCGCUCCGCCCAGUCCCCUCAGCGCCGGGCCUCGUCUCAGCCCGCCACGGAGUGGGCGGGACGCCAGGCAGGCGGGGGACGCGGCGGCUGCCAGCCAAGGGGCCGGAGCCAAGAGAUUUGCAUUGGAAGCGCCAUCCUCUUGCGCGUCUGAUGAGGAAGCAGAACCCGGUGACCGACUGAGCUGCAUUUCUGAAGCAUUUGCUGGGUUUUGCCUCGCUGAGCCUCGGGGAGCACUGGGGCGCGGGAUGGGGGACCCUGUCACGGAGCCGACACCUGCUCGCGAGCCCCUCCCCCGCUCACGCCGUGCCGCGGGCUCGCCCUCCCCAUCUGCAGUGCCCGCAGCGCCUGCCCGCCCCGCCCAUCCUUCCUCCUGGGCAACCCAGAGGAUGGCGUGAGGACUCCUGGAAGCCCCAGGACGGGACCAGGGGCGUGGUAGGGAGCCGUAGACCCGAGUUUUUAUCGUCCUCUGGUGCCGACACUCGGCUGCGGAAUCGAGUUUGAGCUCGGUGUAGCUGAAGUUUAAAUUGUAGCUGUUUCAAAGAUGCCUUGAGAGUCUGAGGAACCCCAGAUUCAGCACCCCUGCUUAACCUGCUUUUAAGAAGAAAAAAAUGGAACUUGGUAAACUUCACUCAAAGGAGAGAGCCACUAAUACCUCCACCUACCUCACACCCAGUGAAGGACGCUGAGAGAAUGUAUGUGUGCUCCAGGCAAUGACUGGAUGAAACAAAAAAGAGAGUCUGGAUAUCAUUAAAGUGUUCGACUCUUGGAUUCCUACGGUUUGGGAUGGGAAGCAGAACUGGACUGUAGCCCCACAUGCAGGUCCGGUAGGAGUCUCCAAAUCCCAUCUGUCUCCCUGCGCUGCAGUUGCCUUGCUUUACCUGCAGAGUUUGGCAUCCGGUAGCAAUGUCUCGAACCCCCGGAGUGUCAGGUUCUAUGUUCGGGCCAAACAUUGCUGAAAGGUGGAAGAAUUCAUGGAGAGAAGGUUAUACCAGGAACCAAGAUCUGCUUUUUAAAAGGGAACAUGCACGCUUAUCUUUUGGCUUGAAUUCACUGUCUUUUACUUAUAUGUGGUCCCUCCUGUGCCGAGUCAGCAUGGGGUUCAGCAGGUGGUGGAAGAUAAACAGCUCAGAGCUGGACUCAGAACUUGGCAGAGUCCUGCUUUCAACUAUGUGCAGCCAGAAAACUCUGGAAAACUGAACUGUUUAUUAAGGUCAAACUUUGGUCUCCUAGAGAGUGGAGCUAGCUCCCAUCCUUCCAAAUGCAGCAAUGACAUUAAGAACAUUUGUUCACAUGGAUCACAGUUGGUGUUGGAAAGUUGUCCUACCUGGACAUUGCUGUCAGAGCCAUGGACUAAAAUACUCAGUUCUGGCCUAAAUAAAGCAAGCUCUCAGUGUCAAAGGCUUUUUUUUUUGAGAUAGAGUCUUGCUCUGUUGCCCAGGCUGGAAUGUAAUGGUGUGAUCUCAGCUUACUGCAGCCUCCGCCUCCCAGAUUCAAGCAAUUCUCC
This is a non-coding RNA of Chlorocebus sabaeus (green monkey), 1663 nucleotides long. NCBI's taxonomy places the organism in Eukaryota, Metazoa, Chordata, Mammalia, Primates, Cercopithecidae. The record is from RefSeq and is a predicted model, not a curated record.